Molecule: ribosomal RNA, 1525 nt
Filed under: Lactiplantibacillus pentosus
Lineage: Bacteria; Bacillati; Bacillota; Bacilli; Lactobacillales; Lactobacillaceae
Description: bacterial SSU rRNA
Rfam family: Bacterial small subunit ribosomal RNA
Source: RNAcentral
GACGAACGCUGGCGGCGUGCCUAAUACAUGCAAGUCGAACGAACUCUGGUAUUGAUUGGUGCUUGCAUCAUGAUUUACAUUUGAGUGAGUGGCGAACUGGUGAGUAACACGUGGGAAACCUGCCCAGAAGCGGGGGAUAACACCUGGAAACAGAUGCUAAUACCGCAUAACAACUUGGACCGCAUGGUCCGAGUUUGAAAGAUGGCUUCGGCUAUCACUUUUGGAUGGUCCCGCGGCGUAUUAGCUAGAUGGUGGGGUAACGGCUCACCAUGGCAAUGAUACGUAGCCGACCUGAGAGGGUAAUCGGCCACAUUGGGACUGAGACACGGCCCAAACUCCUACGGGAGGCAGCAGUAGGGAAUCUUCCACAAUGGACGAAAGUCUGAUGGAGCAACGCCGCGUGAGUGAAGAAGGGUUUCGGCUCGUAAAACUCUGUUGUUAAAGAAGAACAUAUCUGAGAGUAACUGUUCAGGUAUUGACGGUAUUUAACCAGAAAGCCACGGCUAACUACGUGCCAGCAGCCGCGGUAAUACGUAGGUGGCAAGCGUUGUCCGGAUUUAUUGGGCGUAAAGCGAGCGCAGGCGGUUUUUUAAGUCUGAUGUGAAAGCCUUCGGCUCAACCGAAGAAGUGCAUCGGAAACUGGGAAACUUGAGUGCAGAAGAGGACAGUGGAACUCCAUGUGUAGCGGUGAAAUGCGUAGAUAUAUGGAAGAACACCAGUGGCGAAGGCGGCUGUCUGGUCUGUAACUGACGCUGAGGCUCGAAAGUAUGGGUAGCAAACAGGAUUAGAUACCCUGGUAGUCCAUACCGUAAACGAUGAAUGCUAAGUGUUGGAGGGUUUCCGCCCUUCAGUGCUGCAGCUAACGCAUUAAGCAUUCCGCCUGGGGAGUACGGCCGCAAGGCUGAAACUCAAAGGAAUUGACGGGGGCCCGCACAAGCGGUGGAGCAUGUGGUUUAAUUCGAAGCUACGCGAAGAACCUUACCAGGUCUUGACAUACUAUGCAAAUCUAAGAGAUUAGACGUUCCCUUCGGGGACAUGGAUACAGGUGGUGCAUGGUUGUCGUCAGCUCGUGUCGUGAGAUGUUGGGUUAAGUCCCGCAACGAGCGCAACCCUUAUUAUCAGUUGCCAGCAUUAAGUUGGGCACUCUGGUGAGACUGCCGGUGACAAACCGGAGGAAGGUGGGGAUGACGUCAAAUCAUCAUGCCCCUUAUGACCUGGGCUACACACGUGCUACAAUGGAUGGUACAACGAGUUGCGAACUCGCGAGAGUAAGCUAAUCUCUUAAAGCCAUUCUCAGUUCGGAUUGUAGGCUGCAACUCGCCUACAUGAAGUCGGAAUCGCUAGUAAUCGCGGAUCAGCAUGCCGCGGUGAAUACGUUCCCGGGCCUUGUACACACCGCCCGUCACACCAUGAGAGUUUGUAACACCCAAAGUCGGUGGGGUAACCUUUUAGGAACCAGCCGCCUAAGGUGGGACAGAUGAUUAGGGUGAAGUCGUAACAAGGUAGCCGUAGAAUCGUCGACCUG